Molecule: long non-coding RNA, 263 nt
Filed under: Capsicum annuum
Lineage: Eukaryota; Viridiplantae; Streptophyta; Magnoliopsida; Solanales; Solanaceae
Description: long non-coding RNA (CANN_LNC008621)
Source: RNAcentral
AAAAAAAAAGAUCUUCAUACUUGUGUGUUUUUGUGUUGUGGACCCUCCUACUCGUUCAUUUGUCAAUUGAAUCCUUAAACUCAAUAAAACUUAAAUUUUAAACCUAUGGACCACUGACUGAGCUUAUGUGAUAUUAAGAUGACUGAAUUGGACAUAGUGCGUGAAUAUAUGCGUUUAGGAGCAAGGGAACACCAUAUUUAUAUUAACAUUAUAAAAAAAAAUUGUUCUUUUCUCACCUUCUCCUACAACCCCCAACCCCCCCC